AGAGUUUGAUCCUGGCUCAGAUUGAACGCUGGCGGCAUGCCUUACACAUGCAAGUCGAACGGCAGCACGGGGCAACCUGGUGGCGAGUGGCGAACGGGUGAGUAAUGCAUCGGAACGUGCCAUUGAGUGGGGGAUAAUGUAGCGAAAGUUGCGCUAAUACCGCAUAUUCUGUGAGCAGGAAAGCAGGGGACCGCAAGGCCUUGCGCUCUUUGAGCGGCCGAUGUCAGAUUAGCUAGUUGGUGAGGUAACGGCUUACCAAGGCGACGAUCUGUAGCGGGUCUGAGAGGAUGAUCCGCCACACUGGAACUGAGACACGGUCCAGACUCCUACGGGAGGCAGCAGUGGGGAAUUUUGGACAAUGGGGGCAACCCUGAUCCAGCCAUGCCGCGUGAGUGAAGAAGGCCUUCGGGUUGUAAAGCUCUUUCGGCCGGGAAGAAAUCGCAUGGGCCAAUACCCUGUGUGGAUGACGGUACCGGAAUAAGAAGCACCGGCUAACUACGUGCCAGCAGCCGCGGUAAUACGUAGGGUGCGAGCGUUAAUCGGAAUUACUGGGCGUAAAGCGUGCGCAGGCGGUUUUGUAAGACAGGCGUGAAAUCCCCGGGCUCAACCUGGGAACUGCGUUUGUGACUGCAAGGCUAGAGUACGGCAGAGGGGGGUGGAAUUCCACGUGUAGCAGUGAAAUGCGUAGAGAUGUGGAGGAACACCAAUGGCGAAGGCAGCCCCCUGGGUCGAUACUGACGCUCAUGCACGAAAGCGUGGGUAGCAAACAGGAUUAGAUACCCUGGUAGUCCACGCCCUAAACUAUGUCAACUAGGUGUUGGGUGGGUAAAACCAUUUAGUACCGUAGCUAACGCGUGAAGUUGACCGCCUGGGGAGUACGGCCGCAAGGUUAAAACUCAAAGGAAUUGACGGGGACCCGCACAAGCGGUGGAUGAUGUGGAUUAAUUCGAUGCAACGCGAAAAACCUUACCUACCCUUGACAUGCCAGGAACUUGCCAGAGAUGGCUUGGUGCCCGAAAGGGAGCCUGGACACAGGUGCUGCAUGGCUGUCGUCAGCUCGUGUCGUGAGAUGUUGGGUUAAGUCCCGCAACGAGCGCAACCCUUGUCGUUAAUUGCCAUCAUUUAGUUGGGCACUUUAGCGAGACUGCCGGUGAUAAGCCGGAGGAAGGUGUGGAUGACGUCAAGUCCUCAUGCCCCUUACGGGUUGGGCUACACACGUGCUACAAUGGUGGUGACAAUGGGUUAAUCCCCAAAAGCCAUCUCAGUUCGGAUUGGGGUCUGCAACUCGCCUGCAU
This 1295-nucleotide ribosomal RNA is filed under the name metagenome. RNAcentral's name for it is "bacterial SSU rRNA". It matches the Rfam family "Bacterial small subunit ribosomal RNA", at positions 8 to 1321 of the family's 1533-position model. The record is from RNAcentral.